Molecule: long non-coding RNA, 336 nt
Filed under: Brassica rapa (field mustard)
Lineage: Eukaryota; Viridiplantae; Streptophyta; Magnoliopsida; Brassicales; Brassicaceae
Description: long non-coding RNA (BRAP_LNC001211)
Source: RNAcentral
GAUAUUCUAUUUGUGCCUACCCCUAUUUACAAAUACACUUUUAUUUUCUUUACACUAAAAAUUGACUAAUGUCAAGGCCUUUUUAUUUUAAAUUAAUUUUAAUUUUAUCUUUAAUGUAAUAUUUUGAACAAAAAUGUCAUUUUGUAUUAAUUAUAAAUAUCUUUUUAUAUUUGUCAACUAUUUUUAUAUACUUUUUACAUACACAUACAUGUGCAGCUUGAUGUGAGCACCUUGUAACUGAAAUAUUUAAUUUUUUUGAAAGUUGAAAUAUUUUUUCUUAAUGCUUCUUUCUGUACCGACCAAAUGGUAGUAAAAUAAUUUAUCUUAAUAUUUUUU